GGGCAAUAUCUGACAGACAGAGACUGUAUAAAGAAACUGUGAAAUGUAGUUCUCAGAACAGGCUGAAGUUGGAUGAAUAGGAUGUUUAACAGUUGCAUAUGCUCAGUGAUAACAGAUUUUUUUAUUUUUUUAUUUCUUUUUUAUUAUUAUUAUUUUUUUGCUGAGGGGUUUGAAUUUGUAAAAGCAGAACGGUAAAUGCCUUGCAGCACGGAAGGCUCAGCUCUGAGGCCAGUGCCAGGACCUGCAGAGAGUCCUCUGCCAAGGGACGAGACAUCAGCUAUCCUGCUUCAAAUCUCUGACAAGGAUGUGAAAACCGCAGCGUCAGAACAACUGCUGCUCCCUUCUCAAAUUCUGACAAGCAACUUUCAACCUGAAAUCCUCUAAAAAUGCAUGCGUAUAUAUAGAUAGAUAUAUAAAAAUCAAAAUUGACUAUAUUGACUGUAUUUCUUUGCCCAGUUCUGACAGGUUGGAAAUGUGUGCAGAAAUGAGCAAUGCAGAAUAUGGCAAUAGCAUUUGGUGCUUGCCCAAUGGGUCCACCUACCACAAGGAGUUUAUGGGCGGCUGUUUCCCAGAUUUUGUGUGAGGGAGAAAGCAAAAUGACCUCCAGAAUGAUUUCAGCAGCUCUGUUGGGUUGCUGUGAGUGCUAACAUCCGUGGCUCCUGCGAGGAAUUGUAACAAUGGUCUUUGUGCCAUAAUUUGAGUGAGCCAUAUCCCACCAAGUAAAGAUACUUUCAUGGAUCCAACGUGGUUCCUAGUCAGUGUUAUUCAUUAUUUGACCUUAAAUUUUGCAUAUGAUAUGGCCAACUGAUUAUACUGAAGGCAGCAGAGAUGGGAACAGGCACAUUACAUGCUCCAGAAGAUGCUGAGAUAACAGGGGAAGAAAUGGGGGAUUGUAAAAACUGGGCACCAUGCUAUCUGAAAAGGAUGGCUUUGGUGGCACUCAUCAUGAUGGUGUAUCCUCCUACUAUCACUGAUCAUCUGAGGCUUUUCAGGAAUGUAAGCAGGUUUGGACACUAAUGCCCAAAGGGUAAGAGCAAAUUCGGAGAGGUGUCCCCGGAUUUGAAGUGCAGCUUGCUUUGAUGGCUUUGGGAGCUCACAAGGAGGGUCAGGGCAGCCAAGCCUGGAUGAUUUUGUAGCUCAUCCCCACCACCCACCCUCCAGCUGUACAUGGCAGCAGUGUCCUCACUUAUGCCAAAGCUUGUGGCACUCAUUUUUGAGAAGAGAGUAGCUAUCAGUAAGGUCCGUGUCCAGAAUUUGGGCAGCAGCAUUUAAGAAGCGUGAAUCCAAGUCUGGAAAGUCACCCCUGAUAUUUUACUUCGGAAAGCAGCUGUGGUUGGAGGUGGGAGCAUUGGAAAAGCAGUGCUAGUUUGCACACAGGGAAGGCAAGCUCUCCCUCGUGCCUGGUGGUGAAGAGGCAGAAACAGAGCAGAGACUGAAACCACUGCAAAUAUUUGUUCUCGUUGUCAGAUGUUUCUAUAAAAUCAGUUGUUACUGAAUCACUGUUGAAGUUAUUGAGCAUUUAAAUAAGCAGAGAGUGAGAAAAGCUAAGUCUAAUUAUACAUUUCAUGCCAUUUACAGAGGUUUCCAGGGGAUUUUCUUUUAAUAAAAGUGCAGUGCAUCAAAAAGAAUAAAUCCUACAAUUUUGUUAUUUACAAAUCAGCUUCUUCUGCCUCAAGCUGACAGACUUACUCUCCAUCUUACACUCUUCCUUCCACUCCAAAAUACACCCAGGACAUUGACAUUUCUGCUAAUACUUGUCAAGUAUCUACAUACUAUUUUAUGCUCCUUAGGCUGGUAAGCAAAUGGAUGCAAAGAAAAUCAUAGCAUCGGCAUGAUGAAUGUCUUCUUUCAGAACGAUAUAAAGAAAAAACCCACAGUGUCAGAAAGCAUGUAACUCUGAUGUUUUCCAGAUGAAGAGGAAGAAGUGCCUUUUAU
Gallus gallus (chicken) is the source of this 1935-nucleotide long non-coding RNA. NCBI's taxonomy places the organism in Eukaryota, Metazoa, Chordata, Aves, Galliformes, Phasianidae. The record is from Ensembl.